GUGCUGUGAUACUUUUGUAUAUUUUAUGUCUGAUUUUGUAAGCAAGCUUUUAAAUGCAGUGAAAGUUGGGCGUACACAAGACAAAUCAGACUCCUGAAAGAGGUACAGUAGCCUGGAAAGGUUGAGAACCACUGCACUGUAGGGUCCUGG
Molecule: long non-coding RNA, 150 nt
Organism: Dermochelys coriacea (leatherback sea turtle)
Lineage: Eukaryota; Metazoa; Chordata; Testudines; Dermochelyidae
Exons: 3
Source: RefSeq, a predicted model, not a curated record